This 292-nucleotide long non-coding RNA is filed under the name Mustela putorius furo (domestic ferret). RNAcentral describes it as "lncRNA (ENSMPUG00000030215.1)". The record is from RNAcentral. Lineage: Eukaryota; Metazoa; Chordata; Mammalia; Carnivora; Mustelidae.
UUGUGUUGCCUGAUCCCUUUUAUCUGCCUGUUCUUUCUUGUAGAAAAAACAGUUGGCACAGUACGGACAAUAAUGGUGUCUAAAUAUGUCUAAUAGCAUAGAAGGAGAAUAUGAACCAGGACACAUGGGCAGCACAUUUGGUUAAGCUGCAGCUGUUGGCUCAAGUCAUGGUCUCGGGGUCCUGGGAUCAAACCCUACAUCAGACUCCUUACUCAGCGGGGAGUCUGCUUCUCCCUCCGCCUCUGCCCCUCCCUCUGUUCAGACUCAUACUCUCUCUCUCUCUAUUACUGUG